RNAcentral lists this small RNA (2761 nucleotides) under Pan troglodytes (chimpanzee). RNAcentral's name for it is "retained intron". The record is from RNAcentral. Lineage: Eukaryota; Metazoa; Chordata; Mammalia; Primates; Hominidae.
GGAGAUGCCCCGCGGCAGCCGCGCUCUAGGCUCUAAGAGAAAAAGGAGUUGGAAUACAGAAUGCCCAUCCUUUCCAGGAGAAAGACCACUGCAGGUCAGAAGAGCAGGUCUCAGGACAGCAGGGGCAGCUGCCUCUCUCUCUGAAGCAUGGCUCAGGUGUGGAGAAGGGUUUCAGAACACUUCUGGGAAUCCGUCAUUAACAGCUGAAGAGAAGACGAUUACAGAAAAGCACCUUGAAUUAUGCCCUAGACCCAAGCAAGAAACCACCACAUCUAAAAGCACCAGUGGGCUUACAGACAUAACAUGGAGCUCCAGUGGAAGUGAUUUGUCGGAUGAAGAUAAGACACUUUCUCAGUUACAGAGAGAUGAAUUACAGUUUAUCGACUGGGAGAUUGACAGUGACAGGGCAGAGGCUAGUGACUGUAAUGAAUUUGAAGAUGACGAGGGUGCUGUGGAAAUCUCAGACUGUGCUUCUUGUGCAAGUAAUCAGUCUUUGACAAGUGAUGAGAAGCUGUCGGAGCUUCCCAAGCCAAGUUCUAUAGAAAUUUUAGAGUAUUCAUCAGAUAGUGAAAAAGAAGAUGACUUGGAAAAUGUCCUACUCAUUGAUUCAGAAUCCCCUCACAAAUACCACGUGCAGUUUGCAUCGGAUGCAAGACAGAUUAUGGAGAGACUGAUAGAUCCAAGGACAAAAUCAACAGAGACCAUUUUGCAUACACCUCAGAAACCCACAGCUAAGUUUCCCAGGACUCCAGAAAAUUCAGCAAAGAAGAAGCUUUUAAGAGGUGGACUAGCAGAAAGACUAAAUGGACUGCAGAAUCGAGAGAGAUCUGCUAUUUCUUUGUGGAGACAUCAAUGUAUUUCUUACCAAAAGACACUUUCAGGUAGAAAAUCUGGUGUAUUAACUGUGAAAAUUUUAGAGCUGCAUGAGGAAUGUGCCAUGCAAGUUGCCAUGUGUGAGCAGUUAUUGGGGUCACCAGCCACCAGCUCCUCCCAAAGUGUGGCUCCCAGGCCUGGAGCUGGCCUGAAAGUUCUCUUCACCAAGGAGACUGCAGGCUACCUCAGGGGCCGUCCCCAGGACACUGUCCGGAUCUUCCCUCCCUGGCAAAAACUGAUUAUUCCAAAUGGAAGUUGCCCUGUUAUUCUGAAUACUUACUUUUGUGAGAAAGUUGUUGCCAAAGAAGAUUCAGAAAAAACUUGUGAAGUGUACUGUCCGGACAUACCCCUUCCAAGAAGAAGCAUCUCUUUGGCCCAGAUGUUUGUAAUUAAGGGUCUAACAAAUAAUUCACCUGAAAUCCAGGUUGUGUGUAGUGGUGUAGCCACUACAGGGACAGCCUGGACCCACGGGCACAAAGAAGCAAAACAGCGCAUCCCAACCGGCGCUCCCCUGAGGGAUUCUCUCCUGGAUGUGGUGGAAAGCCAGGGAGCUGCCUCGUGGCCAGGAGCUGGAGUCCGAGUGGUGGUGCAAAGAGUGUAUUCUCUUCCCAGCAGAGACAGCACCAGGGGUCAGCAGGGGGCCAGCUCAGGACACACAGACCCAGCUGGAACUCGAGCCUGCCUUCUGGUACAAGAUGCCUGUGGAAUGUUCGGUGAAGUGCACUUGGAGUUCACCAUGUCGAAGGCAAGACAGUUGGAAGGGAAGUCUUGCAGCCUGGUGGGAAUGAAGGUUCUACAGAAAGUCACCAGAGGAAGGACAGCGGGGAUUUUCAGUUUGAUUGACACCCUAUGGCCCCCAGCGAUACCUCUGAAAACACCUGGCCGCGACCAGCCCUGUGAAGAGAUAAAAACUCAUCUGCCUCCUCCAGCCUUGUGUUACAUCCUCACAGCUCAUCCAAAUCUGGGACAAAUUGAUAUAAUUGACGAAGACCCCAUUUAUAAGCUUUACCAGCCUCCAGUUACCCGCUGCUUAAGAGACAUUCUCCAGAUGAAUGAUCUUGGUACCCGUUGCAGCUUCUAUGCCACAGUGAUUUACCAAAAACCACAGCUGAAGAGUCUGCUUCUUCUGGAGCAAAGGGAGAUCUGGCUGCUAGUGACCGAUGUCACUCUGCAAACGAAGGAGGAGAGAGACCCCAGGCUCCCCAAAACCCUGCUGGUCUAUGUGGCCCCCUUGUGUGUGCUGGGCUCUGAAGUCCUGGAGGCACUCGCUGGGGCUGCCCCUCACAGCCUCUUCUUCAAGGACGCUCUCCGUGACCAGGGUGUGCUUGCUUCUCCACAGCUUUGAUGCAGGGGCGACUGAUCGGUGCCCAUAGAAUACCUCUUGUGGCCUCUGGAUGCCUCCAUGUUGCUUGGACGCUGCCGGCACCUUCACGGAGCCCAUCACAGACAUGGCCCAUGUACCAGCCUCCAGCCUUCACUGACCCUGUAGCAGCCACCUGGGCAGAACCAGCUCCAUGGAGAUGCUGUGCUCACUCCAGAAUUGUCUGCUGGUGGCACCCCAUACUGCUGCAGAAUCCACAAACAAACCAAAAGCUAGAAUAUUAUAAAUGCGUAUACUUAGAUCAGCCAGCCCCUUUUUCCAGGGAUCAAACUAAAAUCCUGCCUAAGCUAUCUUUUUUAAUUUUUAUUGAGUUAUAAUUCACAUACCACAUAAUUUACCCUUUGUGGAUUGACUUGAAUCUCAUAUUUGAGUGCUUUUUUAGCUUAGCUCACGGGGUUCAGGAGUGUGCACACACAAUGAACGUGCUGCUGGACACAGUCCCAUAACUGCACCUUCACCUGCAUGACUCAAGGGAUAGCAAAGGAGACUGCCAUUAUGGGCACAAUU